This 423-nucleotide unclassified non-coding RNA is filed under the name Hevea brasiliensis (rubber tree). Lineage: Eukaryota; Viridiplantae; Streptophyta; Magnoliopsida; Malpighiales; Euphorbiaceae. The record is from RNAcentral.
CUUGGGCAUGGUAAAGACCCUUCUUACUUCUCUUGUUGAACAAUGCAAUGAUCUCUGUGAUCUCUCCGUCAGCAUCAAUUUCACUCAUGCAGUGGCAGAAGGGUUCUCCAUUUGAUCUGAGCAGCAAUUAUACACUUGCUGCAUCUUUGACAGCUUCAUUAAAUGAGGCAGCAAGGUAUUCUGCAAGGCUUUGUUGAGAACUGGACUUGUUAGAAGACUCUGAAACUCUUGGCUUUUUCAUGGUAACUGAAUUUGAAGAGCCAGGUGUAUGCAAAUUAUUCACUGCACUGUCCAGACCCCUCCACACAACAGGUUCUAAAUUUUGCCAUGGGUCUUCAACCAUUGACUUGUCAUAAAAAGGCUCUGGGCCCAAUUUCUCAUCUGGAGCAGUUCCACGAAAAUGAAACCCCCGCCCUCUCCUAC